RNAcentral lists this ribosomal RNA (469 nucleotides) under uncultured bacterium. RNAcentral describes it as "bacterial SSU rRNA". It matches the Rfam family "Bacterial small subunit ribosomal RNA", at positions 48 to 507 of the family's 1533-position model. The record is from RNAcentral.
UUAACACAUGCAAGUCAGGGGCAGCAUUGUGAGUAGCAAUACUUACAGAUGGCGACCGGCGCAAGGGUGCGUAACGCGUGAGCAACAUGCCCGUAACAGGGGGAUAAUCCAGGGAAACUUGGUCUAAUACCGCAUAAUAUCAAUUAGAGGCAUCUUUGAUUGAUUAAAGCUUCGGUGGUGACGGAUUGGCUCGCGUGACAUUAGCUAGAUGGAGAGGUAACGGCUCACCAUGGCGACGAUGUCUAGGGGAACUGAGAGGUUAAUCCCCCACACUGGUACUGAGACACGGACCAGACUCCUACGGGAGGCAGCAGUGAGGAAUAUUGGACAAUGGAUGGAAAUCUGAUCCAGCCAUGCCGCGUGCAGGAUGACGGCCCUAUGGGUCUUAAACUGCUUUUGUAUGGGAGCAAUAAGUUCUACGUGUAGAGCGAUGAGAGUACCAUACGAAUAAGCAUCGGCUAACUCCGUG